Molecule: ribosomal RNA, 468 nt
Filed under: uncultured bacterium
Lineage: Bacteria
Description: partial 16S ribosomal RNA
Rfam family: Bacterial small subunit ribosomal RNA
Source: RNAcentral
GACGAACGCUGGCGGCGUGCUUAACACAUGCAAGUCGAACGGAAAGGCCCUGCUUUUGUGGGGUGCUCGAGUGGCGAACGGGUGAGUAACACGUGAGUAACCUGCCCUUGACUUUGGGAUAACUUCAGGAAACUGGGGCUAAUACCGGAUAGGAGCUCCUGCUGCAUGGUGGGGGUUGGAACGUUUCGGCGGUUGGGGAUGGACUCGCGGCUUAUCAGCUUGUUGGUGGGGUAGUGGCUUACCAAGGCUUUGACGGGUAGCCGGCCUGAGAGGGUGACCGGCCACAUUGGGACUGAGAUACGGCCCAGACUCCUACGGGAGGCAGCAGUGGGGAAUAUUGCACAAUGGGCGGAAGCCUGAUGCAGCAACGCCGCGGGCGGGAUGACGGCCUUCGGGUUGUAAACCGCUUUCGCCUGUGACGAAGCGUGAGUGACGGUAAUGGGUAAAGAAGCACCGGCUAACUACGUG